This is a non-coding RNA of Stegodyphus mimosarum, 73 nucleotides long. The record is from Rfam. NCBI's taxonomy places the organism in Eukaryota, Metazoa, Arthropoda, Arachnida, Araneae, Eresidae.
GCCUUUGUGGUGUAGUAGUCAGCAUGCUCAACGUGUAUUCGAGAGGUCCGUGGUUCGAGUCCCGGGGAAGGUG